Myxocyprinus asiaticus (Chinese sucker) is the source of this 2572-nucleotide long non-coding RNA. RefSeq lists it as uncharacterized. NCBI's taxonomy places the organism in Eukaryota, Metazoa, Chordata, Actinopteri, Cypriniformes, Catostomidae. The transcript is spliced from 3 exons. The record is from RefSeq and is a predicted model, not a curated record.
CCCUGGAGCCAAAUACCUGUAUGAUGCUAUCGAUAAAAACAACCAAUCUUUGAAAAAGAACAGAUCAUCUCUAUGUAGUCAUCUCUAUUUACUCAAUAUUUGAUUGAACUGCAAAAACUUUUUAUUUGCAUUUUUGCCAGAUGAUAUGUUACACUAUGUAACUUUUGGCCCUCUAGCGGUUAAAAAAGAAAACUGCAUGUGUCUUGCGGAAGAAAACUGUUAUGUUAUGAAGUUGUGCUUCAGCUCUGCUCCUCUGCGCGGAUGAAUGCGGUUCAAGGCACCUGUGUACACAUGGAUACAGGAUAUCUUAUCAGAGCGAAUGGACAAAUAAAUAACGAAAGAAAGGAAAAGACGGAUAUCCGAAAACAUGUCAUCUGAGCAGGGCUUUGCUGAUGCAUAACAGCUUCCCGUUAUUCUUUGGCUCUCAGUUGAACUCGGGUCGGCUCCAGUGGUUCAGACUCGGCUCACGGCCAACAUCCCCAGAAUGCUGCCAGCGAGUGACAUCAAUGAAGACUGGAAGCUCCUCCCACUUCAACGCAACUAAUUUCCACUCCUCCCUCUCUCACUCUCUGUGUGUGUGUGUGUGUGUGUGUGGUAUGUGUGUGUGUGUGUGUGUGUGGUGUGUGUGUGUGUGUGUGUGGCUGCUUCCACUCUAGAAUAAAAAAGUGUUAGUUCUGCAAAAAAAAUGUUUUAAUGUUGUCAUCAUUUACACAACUUCAUGUUGUUCAAACCAUAUAUGAUUGUCUUACUUAGAUGUUUAGCAGAAUGUCCGAGCUGCUCUUUUCCAUACAAUGAAAGCAUACAGUGAUCAAGGCCUGACGAGCUUCUAAAAGGUAAAAAGCACCAAGUCUGUACAACUUGUAUGCUGUAUUCCAAGUCUUCUGAAGCCAUAUGAUUGCUUUGAGUCAUUGUUCACUCUUAAUCUUCCCCUUUGCUGUAGCUCUCAAACUUGCAGCACCAUGAUUGGUCACGUGACACAUGAGAACCAAUGGAGCUCAGCAUCAUUGACGGCAACCUGGCAAGACGCAUCUUAUUUGAUCAUUUCAAUACAAUCAUAUAAGAUAUUUGAGCUAUGCUAGAGGGAACCAAUUUGAGUCAAUAAUGACUUUUGGGACAAUUUGGGUCUGCUCCGUAUGUAUGACUUCAGAAGGGUUGGAAUAUAACGAGUUGUAUAAUACUUUGGUAACGCUUUACAUUAAUGUUUUAUAACCCUUUGUUAAGGGUUUAUAAAAAAGUUCAUUAAUGACCAUUAAGUUAUUUAUGGAAGCUUUAUAAAUAAUUGAUAAGCGGUUAUAACAACAUGCAUAAAAAUGGUGACUUUCAUGCAAUACCUGCCAAACAGUCACUUAGUCAAGAGCCACUUACAUCACAUGAUAAAAUAUGCUUAAUAACACUUAACCUAUUAAAAUAUACUUUAAUGUUAAAUGAAAGAUUUAUUUACAUUUAUAUUUGAAACCUAUGUGCAUAAAGUUCAGUAUGGUUUGAUUGUCAUCAGGCUUUAUUAUAUGAUAUAUGCUGUGAAAGAGCAUGAAGAGCUAAAAAGUGUUUUACUUGCAGGUAACUAGGACUAGGUAAAUUGGGACAGCACUCGGAGUAGCACCAUCUUUUUAAAAUCAACAUGACAAGGAAAGAGACAACACAAUGGAUUACCAGCUUUCUGACGGACAGGCAGCAGCUUGUGAGAAUUCACUUCCAGCACCUGUACAAUCAGCACUGGUGCCCCCCAGGGAUGUGUGCUCACCCCACUACUCUUCUCCCUCUACACCAACGACUGCAUCGCCAAGGACCCCUCUGUCAAGCUCCUGAAGUCUGCAGACGACACCACUGUCAUCGGCCUCAUCCAAGCUGAUGAUAAGUCUGCUCACAUAAGGGAGGUUGAACGGCUGGCUGUCUGGUGCAGUCAAAACAACCUUGAGCUGAACACGCUCAAAACGGUGGAGAUGAUUGUGGACUUUAGGAGGAACCCCCCAACACUGACCCCCCUCAACAUUCUAAACAGCACUGUGGUAGCAGUGGAGUCAUUCAGGUUCCUGGGCACUACCAUCUCACAGGACCUGAAGUGGGAGACACACAUUGACUCCAUUGUGAAAAAGGCCCAGCAGAGGUUGUACUUCCUUCACCAGUUGAGGAAAUUCAACCUGCCACAGGUGCUGCUGAUACAGUUCUAUUCAGCAGUCAUUGAGUCUGUCCUCUGCACUUCAAUAACUGUCUGGUUUGGUUCAGCUACGAAAUCAGACAUCAGAAGACUACAAAGGACAGUUCGGACUGCUGAAAGGAUUAUUGGUUGCCCCCUGCCCCCCUUCAAGAACUAUACACUUCCAGAGUGAGGAAAAAGGCUGGAAAAAUCGCUCUGGACCCCACUCACCCUGCCCACUACCUUUUUGAACUGUUGCCUUCUGGCCGAUGCUUCAGAGCUCUGAGCACCAGAACCGUCAGGCACAGGAACAGUUUUUUCCCCAGGCUAUCCAUCUCAUGAACAGUUAAAUUGCCCCAUUGAGCAAUUAUUAAUGUGCAAUACACAGUUUAGUCUUUCUUAUAUUUAUCCAACAUACCACACCUCUUCUCCCAUUAC